Long non-coding RNA from Orcinus orca (killer whale), 1598 nucleotides. RefSeq lists it as uncharacterized. The transcript has 3 exons. The record is from RefSeq and is a predicted model, not a curated record. NCBI's taxonomy places the organism in Eukaryota, Metazoa, Chordata, Mammalia, Artiodactyla, Delphinidae.
UAACUGAAUCACUUUGAUGUACACCUGAAACUAACAUGACAUUGUAAAUCAACUAUACUUUGUAUUUUUUAAAAAAAGAUAAUAUAUAUUAAAAACGUAUCUUCUAAAUUAUCUGAAUGUAUGUUACUAUUAUCUAUGCUCUUGAGGUGCUUUUGUGUAUUGUGUCUAAAUGGUAGAAAUACUCUAUGAUGUGUUACUGCACAUCUAUUCCCAAUACCACAUUCAGUGACUUGACUUUGUGAGCUUGAAACUGGCUGUGGAGGGAGUAUUUACACGAUGGAAAUCAGCAAAUGCCACAGAUCAAGGCUUGACUUAUUGCUUUGCUGAUGGUCUAGACUUAAGAAAGUGACAGAGGAACCGUUAAUAAUGCAAAUUAAACAUAAAAAGCAUGUUGCGUCUAUAGCUGUUACAUGGUGAAUGGCGCAAAAACAUUCAUCUCAGCAAAGAAGUCACUCACAUAAUAAGCAAGUAAGUUCCCAUAUACAUCUUUGUUGUGUCACUUUUAUCUUAGAUGAAAAUAUUAAUCAACACGCCAUGUCAGAACUACAUUUGGAGAGCUGGUUGUUAAACAUUUACCAGCACACCACUGGAUCCGCUGUACUAUGCCAACUGGGCCACUUAUAGGUUCUGUGAACUUAAGCAUGUCACUUAUACUAUUAGCCUUGCUUUCAUUCUUCACGAAACACUACCUCUCAGGAUGUAUUGUGAUAUUUACAAUAGAUGAGGCACUCUUGACCUGCACAUCCUUCUUUCUUCUCACUGGCAGACCCUUCACUCACUAGAGUUUGUAUACAGAUACAUGGUUUCUCAGUCUCCCUUGUAGCCUAGAGCAGCGUCCCAGCCUAUAUGCCAGUGCGCACUGCUAUAUCUCAGAUAGGUUACAGAUGUGACAAGGUAUUGGUCCCUUAAGCCCUUGGAAUAUUUGAGUGAGGCUCAGCUGCUGAAACCUGAGAUGGUCCCAUCUGCCCAAAGCAGCCCCACCCAGGCACUCCUUGUGUCAUUAAAACAUUAUUUUUUAAUUUGUGUUAUGCUGUGAAAAAGUUGAGUAGCAGUGGCUUGAGGCAUGGAUGUGUAAUACAAUUCUGACCAAUGGAACCUGAGGAAAAGUUUUGGGGGGAUGGAUCUCAGAAUGAUUUUCCUCCCGAAUAAAAAGAGUCACAUGAGAGAAAGUACCCUUACAUAUGUUGUUAUGUCUGUAGGUGCACCUGGCACUUCUGGACCAUCUUGCAAAAAACCAACGUAACAGAGAAGAAGGCGAAUGAUGGCAAAAGUCUGGAUGCUGCACAUUGUUGAGCCACUGAGCCACCCGAGCAAAGCAGACUAGGCCUUCUUGAGAUGACUUUCUUUCUCCUUGAGGCCCUUUCCACUACAUUUUCUUAUCCAGGAAAACAGAACAAUCCUACAAUGGUGUUCCAACUGAAGAUGUCUUGUUCUUUGGCUUGGUGAGGCCUGUGGGAACUUCUGCAUGACCUAUGACAAGGACCUUCUGCUGGAGUGUUCUGCCGCCCCGACCAAUGUUGACCUUUUUCGUGUGAGUUUCUCCUUCACGCCUCCUGCACCAAAGGCAACUGUUUGGUUCCGAACCUAAACUCUAGAUU